UUUUUGAACCUUGGCCUUAAACAGUAUGAAAACCCCUAUUUGAAUUGAAUUACCUUGAGUUGGGUUGAGAAUAGUUAUAUGUGUUGAAAAGGUUCGAGUUUGGGGUUGUAUGGGGAAAGUGAAAGCCAAAGGAAAAAGAAAAAAAUUAAGUUCAAAAGUUGAAAAAGAAAAAUGCAUGAGAAAGAAAAGAAGAAAAGAGAAAAAACAUGUCAAGUGAACUCAAUGAAAAAGGAAAAAAGGGAAGAAGAUGGGAAUGUGAGAUUGGUUAAAAAGAGAGUGUGCUUGAACUUUUAAUGAUGAUUUAAACUCUCUUAACUCAAGGAUUUUGUAUUCUAGAAAAAACCAAUUUUUCUUGAUAGCCCAGCCUCAUUACAAGCCUUGGAAAAAGUCCUUGUGAUGGCAUUGACAUGUAAAGAAUUUGAUUGUUUUAGAUGAAUGGCAAUAUUGUUUUAUGUGACAUGUGAACAGUAGAGAGUAGAGGGACCUCCUAAACACUUGAG
This 500-nucleotide long non-coding RNA is filed under the name Vigna radiata. Its description in RNAcentral is "long non-coding RNA (VRAD_LNC008363)". The record is from RNAcentral. Lineage: Eukaryota; Viridiplantae; Streptophyta; Magnoliopsida; Fabales; Fabaceae.